This is a long non-coding RNA of Rana temporaria (common frog), 474 nucleotides long. RefSeq lists it as uncharacterized. The record is from RefSeq and is a predicted model, not a curated record. The transcript is spliced from 3 exons. Lineage: Eukaryota; Metazoa; Chordata; Amphibia; Anura; Ranidae.
AUUUGCAGUCUUAAUAAUUAACUCUCAAACUAAUCUGUCAAUAUAUAAUCUUAUGACAUAGUGAAUGACUUCCUAUUUUGUGCUGUACAGUAUUGACAGAAAUCUCUUGGGAUGACCCAUAUCAAUCUCUUUUGAGACUACCUUAUCAUCAAUCUUCCCAUUAUUCCUAUCAUUAUUUGAACCAGUACCUGCUUGCCUUCGGCUCCUCCUCCUCUACAGGCUUGCAUCCAGGCUCUGUGAGGUGCACGGUGACCCUACCUGCAUGCAUAAGAGGAUCAUUUCCUCUUUUUCCCAUCCCCCCUUCCUUCCAUCUGGGAUUUUCCAUCUGGGAUUUUGAGCCAAUCACGGCUAACUACUCAGGUUUUUCAGUCCAUUUUUUCAGACUACUGCCCCCCAUUGGUUCCUGACGAAGCCCCCUUGGGCGAAACUAGUAGAACCGUUACAUGUGGGAUGAAAUGAAGAUCACCUGCAUCU